RNAcentral lists this ribosomal RNA (300 nucleotides) under uncultured Bhargavaea sp. RNAcentral describes it as "bacterial SSU rRNA". It matches the Rfam family "Bacterial small subunit ribosomal RNA", at positions 496 to 795 of the family's 1533-position model. The record is from RNAcentral. Lineage: Bacteria; Bacillati; Bacillota; Bacilli; Caryophanales; Caryophanaceae.
GCUUGGUUCGUGCGUGGCUGAGUGUAUGUACGAAGGGGGGUAGCGUUGUGGUGAAUUACUGGUCGUAAUGCGCUCGUUGUGGGCCGUGCAAGUGAGGCGUGAAAGGCCGUGUCGUAACCUGGGAACGGCGCGUCAGACUGCACGGCGUGAGUCCGGGAGAGGGUGGUGGAAUUCCCAGUGUAGAGGCGAAAUGCGUAGAUAUGCGGAGGAACACCGAUGGCGAAGGCAAUCCCCUGGGCCUGCACUGACGCUCAUGCACGAAAGCGUGGGGAGCAAACAGGAUUAGAUACCCGUGUAGUC